Nothoprocta perdicaria is the source of this 663-nucleotide long non-coding RNA. RefSeq lists it as uncharacterized. NCBI's taxonomy places the organism in Eukaryota, Metazoa, Chordata, Aves, Tinamiformes, Tinamidae. The transcript is spliced from 2 exons. The record is from RefSeq and is a predicted model, not a curated record.
CUCUUCAGAAGGCUUUUUAAAAGGCUUGAGCUUUUUUCUUGCUAUUUGUUUGAAUAAACUGUGGGCAAAUUCUUGGACCCAUGAAGUCAUUGGGCAAAUUCUUGUUGGCUUCGAGUGCAUGAGGAUAUUGCUUCUGGCAUCUUUUGAAACCUGCUUCUUGCUGAACUCCUGCCUUGGACAACUCUCCUUCUGCAAAUGUGAGCUAAGAGUAUCCCUGUGCCGAGCUAGGAGCGUCAGAUGCCCCAUCGUGAAGUACCUGUUGCUACGUAGCUCGGCCUCCACGUGGCACACGGCUCCCGCCCAGGAGCGGGAUCUCUCGCCUCCUGUGUGGAAAUGUCUUCCCUGGCCACAUCCAGGGACCCGUCUGCAUCAGAGAAGAUGCCUUCAAGAGGUUCAGUGGGAAAGAGAGUUUGGAAGUUCCUGCCCCAGAGCAGGCAAGAGGGAGGGAGAGAACCCUUUCCUCCCGGAGGAUGAUGUCAUGAAGAAAAGGAUGUUUGUACAUGACAUCUGUGAUCACAUGCACAUUACUUGGUUUUCUGAACCCUUCCUGUAAAAGAAGAGUCAGAAGAGCCCUCCUGCCCAUCGAUAGGAGAGGGAAGACACUCAGAAAGACCAGAAGAGAACAGCCUGUUCCUCAGUGCCAUAACCUGAACAAUUUCACCA